RNAcentral lists this ribosomal RNA (2111 nucleotides) under Escherichia coli. RNAcentral's name for it is "partial 23S ribosomal RNA". It matches the Rfam family "Bacterial large subunit ribosomal RNA", at positions 757 to 2843 of the family's 2925-position model. The record is from RNAcentral. Lineage: Bacteria; Pseudomonadati; Pseudomonadota; Gammaproteobacteria; Enterobacterales; Enterobacteriaceae.
UAACACUAACUGGAGGACCGAACCGACUAAUGUUGAAAAAUUAGCGGAUGACUUGUGGCUGGGGGUGAAAGGCCAAUCAAACCGGGAGAUAGCUGGUUCUCCCCGAAAGCUAUUUAGGUAGCGCCUCGUGAAUUCAUCUCCGGGGGUAGAGCACUGUUUCGGCAAGGGGGUCAUCCCGACUUACCAACCCGAUGCAAACUGCGAAUACCGGAGAAUGUUAUCACGGGAGACACACGGCGGGUGCUAACGUCCGUCGUGAAGAGGGAAACAACCCAGACCGCCAGCUAAGGUCCCAAAGUCAUGGUUAAGUGGGAAACGAUGUGGGAAGGCCCAGACAGCCAGGAUGUUGGCUUAGAAGCAGCCAUCAUUUAAAGAAAGCGUAAUAGCUCACUGGUCGAGUCGGCCUGCGCGGAAGAUGUAACGGGGCUAAACCAUGCACCGAAGCUGCGGCAGCGACGCUUAUGCGUUGUUGGGUAGGGGAGCGUUCUGUAAGCCUGUGAAGGUGGCCUGUGAGGGUUGCUGGAGGUAUCAGAAGUGCGAAUGCUGACAUAAGUAACGAUAAAGCGGGUGAAAAGCCCGCUCGCCGGAAGACCAAGGGUUCCUGUCCAACGUUAAUCGGGGCAGGGUGAGUCGACCCCUAAGGCGAGGCCGAAAGGCGUAGUCGAUGGGAAACAGGUUAAUAUUCCUGUACUUGGUGUUACUGCGAAGGGGGGACGGAGAAGGCUAUGUUGGCCGGGCGACGGUUGUCCCGGUUUAAGCGUGUAGGCUGGUUUUCCAGGCAAAUCCGGAAAAUCAAGGCUGAGGCGUGAUGACGAGGCACUACGGUGCUGAAGCGACAAAUGCCCUGCUUCCAGGAAAAGCCUCUAAGCAUCAGGUAACAUUAAAUCGUACCCCAAACCGACACAGGUGGUCAGGUAGAGAAUACCAAGGCGCUUGAGAGAACUCGGGUGAAGGAACUAGGCAAAAUGGUGCCGUAACUUCGGGAGAAGGCACGCUGAUAUGUAGGUGAAGCGACUUGCUCGUGGAGCUGAAAUCAGUCGAAGAUACCAGCUGGCUGCAACUGUUUAUUAAAAACACAGCACUGUGCAAACACGAAAGUGGACGUAUACGGUGUGACGCCUGCCCGGUGCCGGAAGGUUAAUUGAUGGGGUUAGCGGUAACGCGAAGCUCUUGAUCGAAGCCCCGGUAAACGGCGGCCGUAACUAUAACGGUCCUAAGGUAGCGAAAUUCCUUGUCGGGUAAGUUCCGACCUGCACGAAUGGCGUAAUGAUGGCCAGGCUGUCUCCACCCGAGACUCAGUGAAAUUGAACUCGCUGUGAAGAUGCAGUGUACCCGCGGCAAGACGGAAAGACCCCGUGAACCUUUACUAUAGCUUGACACUGAACAUUGAGCCUUGAUGUGUAGGAUAGGUGGGAGGCUUUGAAGUGUGGACGCCAGUCUGCAUGGAGCCGACCUUGAAAUACCACCCUUUAAUGUUUGAUGUUCUAACGUGGGCCCCUUACCGGGGUUGCGGACAGUGUCUGGUGGGUAGUUUGACUGGGGCGGUCUCCUCCUAAAGAGUAACGGAGGAGCACGAAGGUUGGCUAAUCCUGGUCGGACAUCAGGAGGUUAGUGCAAUGGCAUAAGCCAGCUUGACUGCGAGCGUGACGGCGCGAGCAGGUGCGAAAGCAGGUCAUAGUGAUCCGGUGGUUCUGAAUGGAAGGGCCAUCGCUCAACGGAUAAAAGGUACUCCGGGGAUAACAGGCUGAUACCGCCCAAGAGUUCAUAUCGACGGCGGUGUUUGGCACCUCGAUGUCGGCUCAUCACAUCCUGGGGCUGAAGUAGGUCCCAAGGGUAUGGCUGUUCGCCAUUUAAAGUGGUACGCGAGCUGGGUUUAGAACGUCGUGAGACAGUUCGGUCCCUAUCUGCCGUGGGCGCUGGAGAACUGAGGGGGGCUGCUCCUAGUACGAGAGGACCGGAGUGGACGCAUCACUGGUGUUCGGGUUGUCAUGCCAAUGGCACUGCCCGGUAGCUAAAUGCGGAAGAGAUAAGUGCUGAAAGCAUCUAAGCACGAAACUUGCCCCGAGAUGAGUUCUCCCUGACUCCUUGAGAGUCCUGAAGGAACGUUGAAG